Molecule: unclassified non-coding RNA, 285 nt
Filed under: Hevea brasiliensis (rubber tree)
Lineage: Eukaryota; Viridiplantae; Streptophyta; Magnoliopsida; Malpighiales; Euphorbiaceae
Source: RNAcentral
UGGUUAUUAAGAAUAAGGAGAAGGUGGAAAAUUUAGAAGUAGUGGAUUUUUGCAUCGAGAGUGAGCGGGAUGACCACGGAGAAUAUGAUGGAGCAGUGGUUGUGAAACAUAUUAUGAAGAAGGAGAAGAAGAGGAGUAAGGUGGUUAAUUCAGAGCUGGAAAAAAAUUUGGGGGUAGAAGCUAAUGUAAUUAGUCUGUUGGAUGAGUCUUGUUCGAGAGGAACUCGAAAUAAUGCUGGUAAAAAUAAAAUCGACACCAAUCAUGGUAGCAAUUCCAAAGAUUUUA